This is a long non-coding RNA of Ictalurus punctatus (channel catfish), 3745 nucleotides long. The record is from Ensembl. NCBI's taxonomy places the organism in Eukaryota, Metazoa, Chordata, Actinopteri, Siluriformes, Ictaluridae.
CGGCUAGCUGGUCACAUAAGGCGUCCAUAGUCUUUCCCCCCAACUUUACAGCUGGAGAUUAUAGUGGUUGAAAUGACGCCAAAGCUCAGACCUCCCACUUCUGAGGUAAGUCAAAUGCAGCACAAAUCCCACUGACGCCAGGAGUAGCGGCCAGUCAAAUGGCAUUGUGGGGAAACUAGGAAACAGUUCAUUCGAUUAGAUGAAAUGAAACUUAAAUUCGAGCAGGUGGCUCGGAGUGGCGGUUUGUUUACUGGCUUAACAUAAUGAGCGCCGAUACAUUACGACAGUAUGCAAAUAUAAAUCACGAGUCGGUUAUAGUAUUGAGAACGGGUUGGAGUGCAUCCAGAGCCUAUCCUGUGAAGGUGGGAGACUUCAGCGCAGAUGGGAUGCCAGUCCAUCACAUGGCACAAUGCACACACACAUUCACACACCAAUGGGCAAUUUAGCGUAGCCAGGUUGCCUACCUACAUGUUUUUGGACAGCGGGAUGAAACUGGAGGAAACCCACAGGAAACCCACAGGAAACUGGGGUGAACAUGUGAAACUCCACAUAGACGGUAACCCAAGCUCGGGAUCAAACCAGGGACCCUGGAGCUGUAAGGCAGCAAUGCUACUCGCUGCACCACCGUGAAUUAGUUUUUGUGUUCUUGCUAAUUCAUGUUACACCGUAUAUCACAUUCAAAUAGCAACAUUUAUAUACUGUAAGAUCUUUUAUGCAGUAUUGUUACUACUUCUUGCAGUAAAUAAUAAUGAAUAAUGAGAUACAAGUGAAAAGGAAGCAGUCAAUAUCAAGAUCCAGACACUCUUCACAAUACACAGAGCUCUCCACCAAAAUCAUUUAUUUAUACACCACUUAAAAGAUGAGAAUUAUAACCAGAUGUAGUGAUAAUAUAUAAGGAGCAAAAAUCAGCAGUGGUGGCAGGCAAUCUGAGGAGGUGGUAAAUUCAAACUUGAAGGAAGGAGAAACAUCAGGACUCAAAGAAGAUCUUACAGAAAAAGGUGGAAGGUAAAGAUAUUCAGGGUCAUGGCCCCGAUUCUGAAAGAGGAGCGUAAACAGAUUCCUGAAAUAAAUAAACACUGGCGACAAUCUAGAAGAGAGCGAGUUCAGGAACGUGGACGCGGCCACGCCCGUACAGGCGAAGAAAGAGAGGGUGAAACUAUAGGUUUUCUAUACGGCUGUCCUCUUUCUUUCAGAGUGCGACGGAGAUAAACGACGCAGUUCCGCCGAGUCUCGACUCGGCUCGUUAGCAUUCUGACUAGCAUGAUGGUGCUAACAGCAGACCUAGCAUGAAACCUUAAGAAUUAGAACUUUCUCUGUUUGAGGAGGUGAGGGAGCUAGACAGCCUGAAGGACUAAAACACUGAUGCAUCUCUGUCUGAGAUGAAGCAAGAGCCAAUGUUGCGCUCGACUCAAUAUCAUAACUCGUAAGUUCUGACCGCCGACUAGGGGAAAAAAAAAAACGUCUCGGACGUUCGACUCAGAAUUCCUACUUGGGAACUCAGGAUGUGAGAUAGUGUAGUACAAAUUGCUGAAAAAAGUUAACUAUGAUGGAAAGAUGUCUGCUUGUUGUGUACGGGGCCGCGUAGCUGCAGACCGGUCAGUGUGCCCGUGCUGACCCCUGUCCGAAAGCACCUACAAUGGGCACGUGAACAUCAGAACUGGACCAUGGAGCAAUGGAAGAAGUAUUCCCUAACAGCACUGGCCUCUUUCAACACGAUAACGCUCCCUGACACACUGCAAAAAUUCAGGAAUGAUUUGAGGAACACGUUUGAGGAAGGUGUUGACUCGGCCUCCAAAUUCCCCAGAUCUCAAUCCGAUCGAGCGUCUGUGGGACAAACAAGUCCGAUCCAUGGAAGCCCCACCUCGCAUCUUACAGGACUUAAAGGAUCUGCUGCUGACGUCUUGGUGCCAGACACCACAGCACACCUUCAGAGGUCUUAUGGAGUCCAUGCGUCGACGGGUCGGAGCUAUCUGGGCAGCACAAGGGGGACCUACACAAAAUCAGGCACGUAGUGUUCAUGUUGAUGCUGAUCGGUGUACAUCACUCCUCACAGCUAGCUGGCUAGCUUGUUGGCAACAGAAAAUAAACACUGAGGCGUCCACGCUUUUCCCCAACUUCAAGGUAGAUCAAAUGCAGCAUAAAUCCCAGCGACGCCAGUUAAACGGCAUUGUGGGUAAUUUAGGAAUCCAUGAACCAAAGUGAAAAUAGAUCGACAUAUCGAAGAAAGACCAUCACAAAAUACAUUUCGGACGUCACCGAAGAUAACAUAAUACCCGAGCGCUUAAUGAAUAUGCUUUAUGAUGUGCAGAGAGUCGGAGGCCGAAAUUUACCAACGCCGACCGACAUUUGAGGAAAGAACACAGUCACAACGUCGAGAUCCCUCAGGUGGUAUUAACCAGUUUAAUUAACCCUGAUUACAUUUAAAAACAUCAGAAAUCAACAAACGUAAGGAGAAUUAAAAUGUUACAAUUUGUUAUUAAAACUCAACCUGUCAUUAAAAGCUGUGAAACCACAGAAAUAAAGAGAGAAGGAAGGUAAAGACAGAGAGAGAGAGAGAGAGAGAGAGAGCGAGCGAAAAAGACCAUUACACGAUAAAGCAAUACAGUUUCUUUUCAAAUUAUGUAAAUCCCACAAAUGAAAAAGAAACACGCAAGAUCAACAAAAGAGUAACGUUACAAAAUAACGAAUUACAUAACAUGACCAGAGUUAAAAAUCGUAUGCGUCCCCUCUACCUCCGUACACUAUCAUCUGUCUCCAUUAUAACGGCCUGAAAUAUAAUUACAGCUUUUUAGUUAUUUUACAACUUUAAAAAGGUUCAACUGUUACAUGUAUAACACAUCGGGUCGGGUUAACGGCAGGAGACUCCGCUCUCGGAUAGAUCACUCCUUUGACGGACCCAAACUCAGGACUAAAUGAGGAAAAAUAAACAAUAAAAAUGUCAAUAAUGAUAAUGAUCAGAAAACAGCAAAUUUGACGAUCAUAUGGGGGGGGAAAAAAAAAAAAAAAAAAAAAAAAAAAAAAAGGAUGAAAGAGAAAUUAACCUGCUUAAAAAUAUGUAGUCCUGCGCCAUGUCUCUCACAUAAAGCAAUGUCUUCCUCGGCGCAGCAGGUCCAGAGACCUAACAUCAUCAUUCAAUAGGUCAGCGAAAGAAGGCGGGGCUCCUGGGCAGGAUAAAGGAUUACGGGAUAGUUUUACUGGAGGAGUAAAGAGUAAGGCAACUGUCAGUCACAUGAAGAGGACGGGGGACGGAGGACGUCAGAAGCGUAGCCGUCGGGCUUGCCAGUUCUGUCGAAAGUUAAAUACUGUACAGUGUGAACGACAUGCCCGUAGGAUCUGUGCGUCUUCCCGAUGGCAGGAUGCAGACUCCGCCCUCGCCGAGUCAUGAUUGGCCAUCUCACGCGGUUUCUUCUCCGACGCUGUGCGCGAGUGUCCUCACAGCUGGGCUAAAGUUCACAGACCUUCAGGAGGUCCACUAUGCUGAACUCCGGACUGGUGGUUACCCAGGAGAUGGACAGACAGGGCAGACACACACUCACUCACUCACUCACUCAUUCUCACUCACACACACACUAGAACAGAAUGGCGGCACUUGCAUCAGGUAAAGUUCAGAGCUCUGCUUCUAUCCAAUGCUUGGUGUGAUUUUGUCUUUCACUAUUUGUGUAUUUAAAAAAAAUAAUCUUUAAAAAAAAAAAAAAAAAAAAAAAAAUCAAAAAAAAAUCAUACAUGUAUAAAAAAUUAACCAAAA